CGCUGGCGGCGUGCUUAACACAUGCAAGUCGAACGGGAUCCAUCGGGCUUUGCUUGGUGGUGAGAGUGGCGAACGGGUGAGUAAUGCGUGACCGACCUGCCCCAUACACCGGAAUAGCUCCUGGAAACGGGUGGUAAUGCCGGAUGUUCCAGUUGAUCGCAUGGUCUUCUGGGAAAGCUUUCGCGGUAUGGGAUGGGGUCGCGUCCUAUCAGCUUGACGGCGGGGUAACGGCCCACCGUGGCUUCGACGGGUAGCCGGCCUGAGAGGGCGACCGGCCACAUUGGGACUGAGAUACGGCCCAGACUCCUACGGGAGGCAGCAGUGGGGAAUAUUGCACAAUGGGCGCAAGCCUGAUGCAGCGACGCCGCGUGAGGGAUGGAGGCCUUCGGGUUGUAAACCUCUUUUAUCGGGGAGCAAGCGUGAGUGAGUUUACCCGUUGAAUAAGCACCGGCUAACUACGUGCCAGCAGCCGCGG
This 475-nucleotide ribosomal RNA is filed under the name Bifidobacterium longum subsp. longum. RNAcentral's name for it is "bacterial SSU rRNA". It matches the Rfam family "Bacterial small subunit ribosomal RNA", at positions 34 to 520 of the family's 1533-position model. Lineage: Bacteria; Bacillati; Actinomycetota; Actinomycetes; Bifidobacteriales; Bifidobacteriaceae. The record is from RNAcentral.